CCGCUGAAUUUAAGCAUAUCACUAAGCGGAGGAAAAGAAACUAACAAGGAUUCCCUAGUAACGGCGAGUGAAGCGGGAUGAGCCCAGCACCGAAUCCCCUGUCUGUGAGGCAGUGGGACCUGUGGUGUUUAGGACAGCCUUUGGGGUUCCGUUGUCGCGUCCGAGUCCUCCUGAUCGGGGCCUUUCCCAUAGCGGGUGUCAGGCCUCUACUGGCGCGCGACGGAGUCUCUUUGAGCGCCCUAGGAGUCGGGUUGUUUGGGAAUGCAGCCCAAAGUGGGUGGUAAACUCCAUCUAAGGCUAAAUACCGACACGAGUCCGAUAGCGGACAAGUACCGUGAGGGAAGU
This 345-nucleotide ribosomal RNA is filed under the name Rhynchonereella bongraini. RNAcentral's name for it is "partial large subunit ribosomal RNA". It matches the Rfam family "Eukaryotic large subunit ribosomal RNA", at positions 25 to 363 of the family's 3401-position model. Lineage: Eukaryota; Metazoa; Annelida; Polychaeta; Phyllodocida; Alciopidae. The record is from RNAcentral.